Molecule: unclassified non-coding RNA, 276 nt
Filed under: uncultured fungus
Lineage: Eukaryota; Fungi
Description: partial contains small subunit ribosomal RNA, internal transcribed spacer 1, and 5.8S ribosomal RNA
Rfam family: Eukaryotic small subunit ribosomal RNA (bases 1-73)
Source: RNAcentral
GCAAACUUGGUCAUUUAGAGGAAGUAAAAGUCGUAACAAGGUCUCCGUUGGUGAACCAGCGGAGGGAUCAUUACAGAGUUGUAAAACUCCCAAACCCAUGUGAACAUACCUGUUGCCUCGGCGGCCUACGCGGGCGGCUACCCUGUAGCUACCCUGUAGACCGCCGACGGAUUUUCAAAAACUCUUGUUUUCAGUUGUAUCUCUGAGAAAAAAAACAAAUAAAUCAAAACUUUCAACAACGGAUCUCUUGGUUCUGGCAUCGAUGAAGAACGCAGC